This 494-nucleotide ribosomal RNA is filed under the name uncultured bacterium. Its description in RNAcentral is "partial 16S ribosomal RNA". It matches the Rfam family "Bacterial small subunit ribosomal RNA", at positions 28 to 507 of the family's 1533-position model. The record is from RNAcentral.
GACGAACGCUGGCGGCGUGCUUAACACAUGCAAGUCGAACGGUGAAGCGCCUUCCUUUUUGGUGGGUGUGGAUGAGUGGCGAACGGGUGAGUAACACGUGAGUAACCUGCCCCCUUCUUCUGGAUAACCGCAUGAAAAUGUGGCUAAUACGGGAUAUUCUGGGUCUGUCGCAUGAUGGGUCUGGGAAAGAUAUUGUUUCGGUGGGGGAUGGGCUCGCGGCCUAUCAGCUUGUUGGUGGGGUGAUGGCCUACCAAGGCGGUGACGGGUAGCCGGCCUGAGAGGGUGGACGGUCACACUGGGACUGAGACACGGCCCAGACUCCUACGGGAGGCAGCAGUGGGGAAUAUUGCACAAUGGGCGCAAGCCUGAUGCAGCGACGCCGCGUGAGGGAUGGAGGCCUUCGGGUUGUGAACCUCUUUCGCCAGUGAAGCAGGCCUGCCUCGUUUGUGGGUGGGUUGACGGUAGCUGGAUAAGAAGCGCCGGCUAACUACGUG